AAAGAUAAUUUUAUUUAAAUUGUCAAUUUAUUUUUUCUUUUAGUUUAUCUUAA
This 53-nucleotide transfer RNA is filed under the name Tetranychus pueraricola. Its description in RNAcentral is "tRNA-Asp". Lineage: Eukaryota; Metazoa; Arthropoda; Arachnida; Trombidiformes; Tetranychidae. The record is from RNAcentral.